ACACUUUACAAUGCGGGAAACCGCGAUAAGGGAACCCCGAGUGCCAGCAUCAAAUGUUGGCUGUCCAGAUGAUUAAAAAUCAUUUGUUAGCAAGGGCCGGGCAAGACCGGUGCCAGCCGCCGCGGUAACACCGGCGGCCCGAGUGGUAGCCGUUUUUAUUGGGUCUAAAGGGUCCGUAGCCGGCCUGAUAAGUCCUUUGGGAAAUCUGGCAGCUUAACUGUCAGGCUUCUAAGGGAUACUGUCAGGCUUGGGACCGGAAGAGGUAAGGGGUACUCCAGGGGUAGGAGUGAAAUCUUGUAAUCCCUGGGGGACCAUCUGUGGCGAAGGCGCCUUACCAGAACGGGUCCGACGGUGAGGGACGAAAGCUAGGGGAGCAAACCGGAUUAGAUACCCGGGUAGUCCUAGCUGUAAACGAUGCUCGCUGGGUGUCAGACACGGUGCGCCGUGUUUGGUGCCGCAGGGAAGCCGUUAAGCGAGCCACCUGGAAGUACGUCGCAAGGCU
RNAcentral lists this ribosomal RNA (502 nucleotides) under uncultured euryarchaeote. RNAcentral's name for it is "bacterial SSU rRNA". It matches the Rfam family "Archaeal small subunit ribosomal RNA", at positions 343 to 850 of the family's 1478-position model. Lineage: Archaea; Methanobacteriati; Methanobacteriota. The record is from RNAcentral.